Molecule: ribosomal RNA, 855 nt
Filed under: uncultured archaeon
Lineage: Archaea
Description: bacterial SSU rRNA
Rfam family: Archaeal small subunit ribosomal RNA
Source: RNAcentral
CUAUUGCUAUCGGGAUGAGACUAAGCCAUGCUAGUUGUGCGCUUCCUAGCUAUGUUGGAAGAGCAGCAAACGGCUCCGUAACACGUAGUUAAUCUGCCCUUAGGACAGACAUAACCUUGGGAAACUGAGGCUAAUAUCUGAUAGGUGGAAACGCCUGGAAUGGUCUUCCGCUUAAAGGUUUUUGGAGACAUGCCUCCAAGAAUGCCUAAGGAUGAGACUGCGGCCGAUCAGGCUGUUGGUGGGGUAACGGCUCACCAAACCUAUAACCGGUACGGGCCCUGAGAGGGGGAGCCCGGAGAUGGGAACUGAGACAAGGUCCCAGGCCCUACGGGGCGCAGCAGGCGCGAAACCUCCACAAUGCGCGAAAGCGUGAUGGGGUUAUCCCGAGUGCCGUCCGUUGAGGAGGGCUUUUCCCCAGUGUAAGGAGCUGGGGGAAUAAAGGGGGGGCAAGACUGGUGUCAGCCGCCGCGGUAAUACCAGCCCCCUGAGUUAUAGGGACGAUUAUUUAGCCUAAAGCGUUCGUAGCCGGCUCAGCAAGUCUUUCGUUAAAUCUAACGACUCAAUCGUUAGGCCGCGGAAGAUACUACUAGGCUUGAGGACGGGAGAGGUCGACGGUAUUCCCGGUGUAGGGGUGAAAUCCAAUAAUCCCGGGAGGACCACCAGUGGCGAAGGCGGUCGACCAGAACGUGCCUGACGGUGAUGGACGAAAGCUGGGGGGGCAAACCGGAUUAGACACCCGGGUAGUCCCAGCUGUAAACGAUGCGAGCUAGGUGUUGGGGUAGCCACGAGCUGUCCCAGUGCCGUAGAGAAGUUGUUAAGCUCGCCGCUUGGGGAGUACGGCCGCAAGGUUGAAAC